Molecule: ribosomal RNA, 472 nt
Filed under: Microsporidia sp.
Lineage: Eukaryota; Fungi; Microsporidia
Description: bacterial SSU rRNA
Rfam family: Microsporidia small subunit ribosomal RNA
Source: RNAcentral
CUACCAAGACAGUGACGGUUGACGGGGAAUCAGGGUUUGAUACCGGAGAGGGAGCCUGAGAGAUAGCUCCCACGUCCAUGGACGGCAGCAGGCGCGAAAAUUGCCCACUCUUUGUAGGAGGCAGUUAUGAGACGUGAAAUUGAAUAUUUUGUAAAGAAGAAUAGGAGAAUUGGAGGGCAAGUUUGGUGCCAGCCGCCGCGGUAAUACCGACUCCAAGAGUGUGUAUGAGAGAUGCUGCAGUUAAAAGGUCCGUAGUCAUAGAAAGAUAAAUAGGGAUAAGAAAUCUCUUAAAUUAGUUAUAGAAAAACCGAUGGGGAACAUAGUAUACCAGGGCGAGAGAUGAAAUGCCAAGACCCCUGGUGGACUAAGCGAGGCGAAAGCGAUGUUCUUGUAGGUAUUUGAUGAUCAAGGACGAAGGCUGGAGUAUCGAAAGUGAUUAGAUACCGCAGUAGUUCCAGCAGUAAAAGAUGCC